Molecule: long non-coding RNA, 1241 nt
Filed under: Sorghum bicolor (sorghum)
Lineage: Eukaryota; Viridiplantae; Streptophyta; Magnoliopsida; Poales; Poaceae
Description: long non-coding RNA (SBIC_LNC003072)
Source: RNAcentral
CUCCUGUCUAUACCCUUUGUUCCAGAGUUUUUCAUAAGUUUUCAAAAAUAAAACUCAGAGUUCCCAGCAAUGAUUCUCUCAAGUCUCUCAAUAUGUGGUAUUUGUGGAUCCUUACCAUGAUAUCACUUACCUAUAGCUAAUGGAAUAUUUAAGUGGAGCUCAUAGGAGUGAAAAACAGCUCAUACAUAUGUUGUCUAAUCGAGCCAUGGAUCCAAAGGAACUCAGCAUAUAAUUAAAUCAAGAUGUGCAUGUGUGGUGGAGUAAAUGAUAGUGAUGGUGAAAAUGCAUAAGUGAUAAUAAAACUUAGUUCUCAUUGCUCCUUAUAUUGCUAUCUCUCCUCCUCUUUGAUCUUUGCCUUGGGAGAACAUGGGCUAUCUUUUUCUUUUCUUUUUUUUCAGGUGGAUAGUAGAUACCCCUAAUUCUACUGUCGGACACUUGUCCAUUUUUUCCGCUCAAGCGGGCAUCUUUGUACCCCUAAUUCUACUUCGGACACUUGUCCAUUUUUACCUCUCGUCUCACUCUUUUUCUUUCUUUUCCGAGGUUCCGGGCACUUGCCCCUUUUUAUUUCCUCGUAUAUUUUUGCAUAACCCAUGCCUCUUUUGCAUUGAAUCUUUUUAGAGAGAGAAUAACAAUAUUCGGGACACUGAGUAAAAAUAUUUUUAGCAAUUUUAAUGAUUGAUGAUGGGUGCUGUGGUAGAUGUGUGCAAGUGAAUAUCUUAAUUUAACCACAUGAAAAGCUCCUAAGGGUCUACACAGCUCGAUCAAACUCAAUGUAAAUAUAUUAAAAGAUGUUAUAGCAAGUAUGGCUGUGGUAGGUAGUUUUGUUAUGCUAGGAACUCAUCAUGUGAUUUGUAAGUUUUCAAAAAUAAAUCUCUAGAACUUGGUGUAGUAGGAACAAGAUAAACAGUAGCUCAACUUUAUAUCAUGCCUUUCUCUUACCUAGACUUUAGUUUUAUGCUUCCCAAAGAUAGUAAUUUUAGUUUUAGUAAUUCCUGGAAGAACUCUAAUAUAAAAGCUAGGUACUUGUAAGUAAGCAAACAGAGCAACUGUUCAUCAUUUCCAUCAUGCAUCUUUUUGGUCUUUUUAUUUUUUUUAGAGAUUAAACUUAGCAGAAAAAUAAAACACACUUAUCUACACACUCUUUUUAUUUUGUUUUCAUGUUUAUAAAGUGCAGUAAAUUAAAGCAAGAAAAUAUUUAUUUGGUUUUCUAAGCUUUUCCUUUUAAGAUAAAUUAAAUACUA